GUGCUCGCUUCGGCAGCACGUACAUUAAAUAGGAACGAUACAGAGAAGAUUAGCCUGGCCUCUGUGCCAGGAUGACAUGCGAAUUUGUGAAGUGUUUCAUAUUUUU
This is a small nuclear RNA of Suricata suricatta (meerkat), 106 nucleotides long. The record is from Ensembl. NCBI's taxonomy places the organism in Eukaryota, Metazoa, Chordata, Mammalia, Carnivora, Herpestidae.